AUACGUAGGUGGCAAGCGUUGUCCGGAAUUAUUGGGCGUAAAGCGCGCGCAGGCGGUUCCUUAAGUCUGAUGUGAAAGCCCACGGCUCAACCGUGGAGGGUCAUUGGAAACUGGGGAACUUGAGUGCAGAAGAGGAAAGCGGAAUUCCACGUGUAGCGGUGAAAUGCGUAGAGAUGUGGAGGAACACCAGUGGCGAAGGCGGCUUUCUGGUCUGUAACUGACGCUGAGGCGCGAAAGCGUGGGGAGCAAACAGGAUUAGAUACCCUGGUAGUCCACGCCGUAAACGAUGAGUGCUAAGUGUUAGGGGGUUUCCGCCCCUUAGUGCUGCAGCUAACGCAUUAAGCACUCCGCCUGGGGAGUACGGCCGCAAGGCUGAA
Molecule: ribosomal RNA, 377 nt
Filed under: uncultured bacterium
Lineage: Bacteria
Description: bacterial SSU rRNA
Rfam family: Bacterial small subunit ribosomal RNA
Source: RNAcentral